UAUGGCGAUAUCACACUGAAACACCGAUUUUCAUACAAUCACCUAAGUUAAGCAACAUUGAACCUGGUCAGUACCUAGAUGAGUGGUCUUUUGGGAAUACCAGAUGCUGUAA
This is a non-coding RNA of Acanthosepion pharaonis, 112 nucleotides long. NCBI's taxonomy places the organism in Eukaryota, Metazoa, Mollusca, Cephalopoda, Sepiida, Sepiidae. The record is from the annotation of a GenBank genome assembly.